Molecule: long non-coding RNA, 1200 nt
Organism: Papaver somniferum (opium poppy)
Lineage: Eukaryota; Viridiplantae; Streptophyta; Magnoliopsida; Ranunculales; Papaveraceae
Exons: 4
Source: RefSeq, a predicted model, not a curated record
UUAUUGUUUUGGAUUUUUUUCUUCUUCUGUGUGGUUGUAAUUUUUAGCGUUAUUAAGUUUUAGGUCACAUGCUUGGAUAAGAUUUCCACCAAACUAUAUUCUAUAGGUAAUCUGAGAAAUUUGUUCUAUACGAGAGGAUCUUCGGCCUGUGGUAGUAUCUAUAUGCGCAACUCUGCAGUAAACAAUGUUGACAGUUCUUUUAUUGGUGAUAUUCAGUAGAGGGUGUUCAAGUCCUAUUCAUUACCAACUCUAUCACAAUUCAAAAACAGCCAACUGAGGCAAAAUCUUGCAAAACAAAUAAAUUGAAGGCUUAAACGGGAAGCAAAUGAAGAUGGUGUAUUGUGCUCAGCAAAGCCAAUGAAUAGGCUUGAAAAAGAAUAGGAAGAUCUCGCAUGGUAAUUGCAGCUGGGGAAUUAAAGAUUCGCUGACUUGGAAGUUUCAAUCUGUGUGUAUGCAUAAACACUGUGUUAUCCAGUUGUUGCGAUGGACCAGGUAGUUACUGUCUGUGUGGGUAACAAAACAAUAACUAUUUAUGUUAAAUGUGUCUUUGGUCAUACAAUUUUGCAGUCCAGAUGCCUAGAGGCUAAGUUAGUCGAGGUUUCAAAACUUCGAAAAACAUUGGGCAUGAGCAUGGAGCUGGAAGCUUCUAAAUCAGCACCUUGACUUAGUGCAAUAAAAGUUUGCUGCCUCAAAGUCAUCUGGAAACAUCUACAAAAGGAAUAUCAUCUUCAGAUUGUAGAAUUACUGAAUUGGGAGAGUUUUGCAAGGAACAUUCAUGCAUGAAGAAAUUAGAAUCAAGUUUCAUACACAUACAGUAGAACGUGAAAUUUUCCAGCCUCAACUCUGUAAAUGGAAUUCAAAGGAUAACAAUGGAUUUCACGAGUUUCCUUCCAAAUUAGAUUGGGAUGUGUUGUGGGAAAUUAAAAGGUAUAAAGAGUUUGGAACGCAACAAACAUGGGAGGUAUGGUCGUUGUUACUGCGCUUUUUUUCUUUUUCUUUUCUUUUUUAUCUUCAUUAUCAGUAGAAUAUCUUGAACACCUAUGCCAAAUCAUUUCAUGAUCUGUACUCGAAGAAAGGAUGGAGAGAAAAUUAUGCAAUUAUUGUGUUGCAUCCCAGUUUCAACUAUAUGCAUGUAUGUAGGUGUCUCUGCCAGUAAUGUUUAUUCAAUCAACACAAAGGAUGUUACAAAGAGUUUCUGCA